GUCCUUUAAUUGUGAAAACACAAUACAUAUUUGUUCACCAGAACAUUUUGGGACUCUGUCCAUUUGGGACUUCUUGAAAUCCAUGUCUGUUGUCACUAAAAAAAGAGUUCGGCCUGAAGCACCUUCCAUGCAUACUUUAAAUUUCCCUUCUCCAGUUAACCCUUCACAGUUUCUCCAAGUAGCUGACUUGUAAUGACCAAAAAUCCCAGCCCAAAUCCCUGUCUUUAUAUGUGCCAGUAAUUCUCUCCCUUUUCAGGAGAUCAGCUACCUUUUGGAAUUGGAUCAACAGGGGACAUUACAGCUGUAUCUGCCCAAUAUUACUUACACUGUUAUUAAUAAAUUGAUCGUGAAAGGACCCCUAGUUUCUACGUAAACUAAUAUGCCUUUGCCAGGCAGGCAGCAAAAUAAAGUUUUUGAAUUCUCAGAAUUUCACAAUACACACAGAUUCAAUCGAUGCAGACUGCACCAUGUUUGGACUUGCUUUACCUAAGAGUGACUUCUUAGGAUUCUGGGAUUCACCUCAAUAGGAGGGCUAGUUUGGAUCUCUUUGUUAACACUAUUGCUUAGUUAUGCUUUAGACAAUUAAUAUGUAGUUAUCAAAGUCUAUGGGAAUUUUUGUAGAUAAAUAAUUUUGAAAGUUUCUAAUACAAUUAUAUCAUAUGCAAAGCUUAU
Pelobates cultripes (western spadefoot toad) is the source of this 672-nucleotide non-coding RNA. The record is from the annotation of a GenBank genome assembly. NCBI's taxonomy places the organism in Eukaryota, Metazoa, Chordata, Amphibia, Anura, Pelobatidae.